This 503-nucleotide ribosomal RNA is filed under the name uncultured bacterium. Its description in RNAcentral is "partial 16S ribosomal RNA". It matches the Rfam family "Bacterial small subunit ribosomal RNA", at positions 30 to 523 of the family's 1533-position model. The record is from RNAcentral.
AUUGAACGCUGGCGGCAGGCUUAACACAUGCAAGUCGAGCGGGGGAGGUUGCUUCGGUAACUGACCUAGCGGCGGACGGGUGAGUAAUACUUAGGAAUCUGCCUAUUAAUGGGGGACAACAUCUCGAAAGGGAUGCUAAUACCGCAUACGCCCUACGGGGGAAAGCAGGGGAUCACUUGUGACCUUGCGUUAAUAGAUGAGCCUAAGUCGGAUUAGCUAGUUGGAGGGGUAAAGGCCUACCAAGGCGACGAUCUGUAGCGGGUCUGAGAGGAUGAUCCGCCACACUGGGACUGAGACACGGCCCAGACUCCUACGGGAGGCAGCAGUGGGGAAUAUUGGACAAUGGGGGGAACCCUGAUCCAGCCAUGCCGCGUGUGUGAAGAAGGCCUUAUGGUUGUAAAGCACUUUAAGCGAGGAGGAGGCUCUUUUGGUUAAUACCCAAGAUGAGUGGACGUUACUCGCAGAAUAAGCACCGGCUAACUCUGUGCCAGCCGCCGCAGUAA